This 253-nucleotide ribosomal RNA is filed under the name uncultured bacterium. Its description in RNAcentral is "partial 16S ribosomal RNA". It matches the Rfam family "Bacterial small subunit ribosomal RNA", at positions 524 to 776 of the family's 1533-position model. The record is from RNAcentral.
GACAGAGGGUGCAAACGUUGUUCGGAAUUACUGGGCGUAAAGCGCGUGUAGGCGGCUCGGCAAGUCGGAUGUGAAAGCCCUGGGCUUAACCUAGGAAGUGCAUUCGAAACUGCCAAGCUUGAGUUCUGGAGGGGAAGGCGGAAUUCUCGGUGUAGAGGUGAAAUUCGUAGAUAUCGAGAGGAACACCCGUGGCUAAGGCGGCUCUCUAGUACGGUACUGACGCUGAGACGCGAAAGCGUGGGGAGCGAACAGG